Molecule: ribosomal RNA, 496 nt
Filed under: uncultured bacterium
Lineage: Bacteria
Description: partial 16S ribosomal RNA
Rfam family: Bacterial small subunit ribosomal RNA
Source: RNAcentral
AUGAACGCUGGCGGCGUGCCUAAUACCUGCAAGUCGAGCGAACAGACGAGGAGCUUGCUCCUCUGACGUUAGCGGCGGACGGGUGAGUAACACGUGGAUAACCUACCUAUAAGACUGGGAUAACUUCGGGAAACCGGAGCUAAUACCGGAUAAUAUAUUGAACCGCAUGGUUCAAUAGUGAAAGACGGUUUUGCUGUCACUUAUAGAUGGAUCCGCGCCGCAUUAGCUAGUUGGUAAGGUAACGGCUUACCAAGGCAACGAUGCGUAGCCGACCUGAGAGGGUGAUCGGCCACACUGGAACUGAGACACGGUCCAGACUCCUACGGGAGGCAGCAGUAGGGAAUCUUCCGCAAUGGGCGAAAGCCUGACGGAGCAACGCCGCGUGAGUGAUGAAGGUCUUCGGAUCGUAAAACUCUGUUAUUAGGGAAGAACAAAUGUGUAAGUAACUAUGCACGUCUUGACGGUACCCAAUCAGAAAGCCACGGCUAACUACGUG